UUCCUGCACCUCGCGUAAGUGCGAUGGAGGGACGGAGAAGGUUAGGUGUACCAGGCGUUGGUUGUCCUGGGGAAAGGCGGUAGGUUUGGAUCUUUGGCAAAUCCGGGAUCCUCUAAGACCGAGCACCGAGACGAGCCUUUAUGGCGAAGUCACUGAUACCACGCUUCCAGGAAAAGCUCCUAAGCUUCAGCUUACGCAGACCGUACCGUAAACCGACACAGGUGGGUAGGAUGAGAAUUCUCAGGCGCUUGAGAGAACUCGGGUGAAGGAACUAGGCAACAUGGCACCGUAACUUCGGGAGAAGGUGCACCCUUUUUGGUGGCUCGUGCGAGCUAUAGCUGAAGAGGGUCGCAGUAACCAGGCCGCUGCGACUGUUUAUCAAAAACACAGCACUCUGCAAACACGAAAGUGGACGUAUAGGG
RNAcentral lists this ribosomal RNA (422 nucleotides) under Corallococcus exercitus. Its description in RNAcentral is "partial 23S ribosomal RNA". It matches the Rfam family "Bacterial large subunit ribosomal RNA", at positions 1436 to 1850 of the family's 2925-position model. The record is from RNAcentral. Lineage: Bacteria; Pseudomonadati; Myxococcota; Myxococcia; Myxococcales; Myxococcaceae.